UUUGUCCAGUCCAGGCCAGCUGUAUUGUGACAAUAUUGUGACAUUCAGCAAGGUCAGUCACCAUCAGCCAAGCUUCUUGCCUCAACCAAAGCCAAUGCCAGACAGCUCCAGGACAGACCCGCUAUUGGUAGGGUUGAGCCCAGCAGCGAUGGUAGCGCUUCUGAGGUUGUGUCAGCCCCACCAAGCACAGAAAGAACAAUUCCAGAGAGCUGAUAGGAACAGUGAAGUUGUCUGUAUGCAAACGUUCUACUCAGGCAGCACAUGGAGGACAAGCCUGUUACAGAUCUUCUUUAAUUGGUGCAAAUGCAUUUCGUGUGACCUACGUGUGACUAUGGAUACAAUGAGAGAACUUCCAGUCCCUCUCUUUGGUUUAUGAUCUAUGUUAAAUCAAAGGAACAGCUCAGAAGAUGCUGCUGGUUCCAGAAGCAGUAAUAUGCAGGUGUUACAGCCUGGAUAUAAUAGCUUCCUACAGGGAAAAUUGUACCACCCUAUGGAGACUUCAGUAUUUCAGAGAAAGAUGGAUAAAUAACAAUUUAUCUUUUAACAGUGCAAAUGUUGAAGUUGACAAAAAAAUAACUCUGUAUACUUUUAAUACAAUCUUAGUCACUCCUUACUCCUGCUAUUAUGGCUAUUCCCAAAAAAAGACGGACUAUUCACCUUAAAUUAAAGGCUUAUGGAGAACCUAGAGGCAAUUGAUACAUUAAAAUUCCUUGCACAGA
Cyanistes caeruleus (blue tit) is the source of this 719-nucleotide non-coding RNA. The record is from RefSeq and is a predicted model, not a curated record. Lineage: Eukaryota; Metazoa; Chordata; Aves; Passeriformes; Paridae.